AAGUCGUAACAAGGUUACCUUCUGCAGCUGAGCUUCGGAGACCUUGCAACCCCUACGGGGAGGUAGCACGACAGUAAAUAAAGCUGACCGCUUGCAAGUUGGCCACAUGGCCAGCAACACAAUCGAAUUGACGGGGAACUCCUAAAGCCUACAACACCAACCGUCCGGGGAAACUCGGGUGGGGCCCUCAUGGGAUGGUAACAGUGUGUAGGAUAUAUGGACAAUCCGCAGCGGAGCUCCUAACGGCGAGAGCCCACGGGGAACGUUCACAG
This 272-nucleotide unclassified non-coding RNA is filed under the name Chloridium sp. RNAcentral's name for it is "partial contains internal transcribed spacer 1". Lineage: Eukaryota; Fungi; Ascomycota; Sordariomycetes; Chaetosphaeriales; Chaetosphaeriaceae. The record is from RNAcentral.